UGCAAGUCGAGCGAGACCUUCGGGUCUAGCGGCGGACGGGUGAGUAACGCGUGGGAACGUGCCCUUCUCUGCGGAAUAGCCACUGGAAACGGUGAGUAAUACCGCAUACGCCCUUCGGGGGAAAGAUUUAUCGGAGAAGGAUCGGCCCGCGUUAGAUUAGGUAGUUGGUGGGGUAAUGGCCUACCAAGCCUACGAUCUAUAGCUGGUUUGAGAGGAUGAUCAGCCACACUGGGACUGAGACACGGCCCAGACUCCUACGGGAGGCAGCAGUGGGGAAUCUUAGACAAUGGGGGCAACCCUGAUCUAGCCAUGCCGCGUGAGUGAUGAAGGCCUUAGGGUCGUAAAGCUCUUUCGCUGGGGAAGAUAAUGACUGUACCCAGUAAAGAAACCCCGGCUAACUCCGUGCCAGCAGCCGCGGUAAUACGGAGGGGGUUAGCGUUGUUCGGAAUUACUGGGCGUAAAGCGCGCGUAGGCGGAUCAGAAAGUUGGGGGUGAAAUCCCGGGGCUCAACCUCGGAACUGCCUCCAAAACUCCUGGUCUUGAGUUCGAGAGAGGUGAGUGGAACUCCGAGUGUAGAGGUGAAAUUCGUAGAUAUUCGGAAGAACACCAGUGGCGAAGGCGGCUCACUGGCUCGAUACUGACGCUGAGGA
This 650-nucleotide ribosomal RNA is filed under the name Salipiger thiooxidans. Its description in RNAcentral is "bacterial SSU rRNA". It matches the Rfam family "Bacterial small subunit ribosomal RNA", at positions 56 to 752 of the family's 1533-position model. Lineage: Bacteria; Pseudomonadati; Pseudomonadota; Alphaproteobacteria; Rhodobacterales; Roseobacteraceae. The record is from RNAcentral.